Molecule: long non-coding RNA, 734 nt
Filed under: Bos indicus x Bos taurus (hybrid cattle)
Lineage: Eukaryota; Metazoa; Chordata; Mammalia; Artiodactyla; Bovidae
Description: lncRNA (ENSBIXG00005015629.1)
Source: RNAcentral
CUGGACAUGUGACAUCCCUGCUCUCAGCCAGAGGCUCCUUCUGUCUCUAGACAAUGACAGCGUGAGAACAGGGCACCUGGUCCCCGGGGCUCUCCCAGACACACCUGCCUCCCCCUUCUCCCCCUUCUAAUCUACACAACAGCUUCGGUUUUCCCACAGAGCUUCCGGGGCCCUCCCCACCCUCCGGAGCAGGCUGGCAGCAUGACAGGUGACAAAUCAAAAGUCAUUCUCUGCUGAACAGAGCAACUGGUUUCAUAAGAUAAAGAAACUGAACCCCACUGAGGAUGCGGCCCUCCUUCCCUGGCCCUGCCCCUGGCCUCUGGGUCAGAAUCUAGGCCUCUGGACACAGCAGAGACUUCAAAUCUGAGCCCUGGACUACAUUGCUCAGGUUUGAGGACUCAGGUAGCUGCAGCCCUUCUUCCAGGUGUUUCCGUCCUGCAGAAUAUGUUUCCGAUGAUGACACCGACUCCAGUCCCAGGUGAGCCCAAACCCAAGGUGUCCCAGGCUGGCUGCUGGAGGCCUUGUCUCCCCUGCACACCCCUCUACACCCCUACAGGAUCAGAAUUGGGGGGCCCCAGCCUCUUCACUCCUUGGUGGUGACCUGGUGACGUUUCAAGUAGGAUUCGAGUGGUGGGAAGAGCCCCAUUUCCUCCCUGCUCCUCCCUUGGCCGCAGGUUGUCCGGCUUCUCUUGGGGAAACUGCCUCGAGGGCAGGGAGCCUUGGGAACAUCCACC